GGCUUGGUGGCGGAGGGUCAGCAUCUGCCCAAUAUGCUUCAUCUUGAUGCAGACAUAGCCUGUUCGACUCAGGCCCGAGCCA
Molecule: non-coding RNA, 82 nt
Organism: Mycena leptocephala
Lineage: Eukaryota; Fungi; Basidiomycota; Agaricomycetes; Agaricales; Mycenaceae
Source: the annotation of a GenBank genome assembly